Long non-coding RNA from Mus musculus (house mouse), 432 nucleotides. RefSeq annotates it as predicted gene, 33055. The record is from RefSeq and is a predicted model, not a curated record. The transcript is spliced from 3 exons. NCBI's taxonomy places the organism in Eukaryota, Metazoa, Chordata, Mammalia, Rodentia, Muridae.
GUCAGACCUUGCUCAGCAGGGCUCACAGUUCCUCAAUCCUUGAUCUUCCUGUCAUCAUACACCACUUCUGAUGUCUCCUGCCUGCCUUUCCUCACUGUGAGUCGUCCGGGUAGAGAAGGAAAGCACUUUUGCCUGAUUUCGCCAGACCUUCUGGAGGAUUCAGCUCAGCUGGAAGCUUUUCUUCAGUCUGAUGGAAACCCUGGCAAUUGGAUUCCUCUCCAAGGUUUUAUGUACUGAGGAGAAGCGGUGCAUGGUAAGAUUAACCUUGCUUGAUGACUGAGACCUGCUUUGGAAAAACAAGGCAAAUGUGCCCAGGCUCUGGAAGAGGGAGAAUUUGUCUUCUGACACACAUUUCUAUCUUCAGAAAUUCCUGACAAUCUACAGCCCUGUUAAGGCAUGAAAAAUAUGUCACUAGCGUUGACUCAAUACAGA